AUUUUUUCAACUCAACAGCUUCAUUGUGGAGACCCUGGACUCAGGCCCACCACUAGACAUGGCUUUACAACGGUGUCUAAAACAGGGACGCUAUUGUAAAGCUGAGUCCAGCGGUGGUCCCAUGUCCAAAACCUCCACAACAGCACCGGUGGAAAAAGGAAUCCGAGUUCUUCUCAGCCUUGUGAAGAUGGGACUCUUGGGGAGGUGGACUUAGGUCUACAGCUGAGCCACCCAGCAUCUGUACUACCGCCUAUUCACUUUAAUUAUAUCUG
This is a long non-coding RNA of Lampris incognitus (smalleye Pacific opah), 272 nucleotides long. RefSeq lists it as uncharacterized. NCBI's taxonomy places the organism in Eukaryota, Metazoa, Chordata, Actinopteri, Lampriformes, Lampridae. The transcript is spliced from 3 exons. The record is from RefSeq and is a predicted model, not a curated record.